CAGUCGCCACGGGAACACGUAGGGGGCGAGCGUUGUCCGAAGUUACUGGGCGUAAAGCGCGCGUAGGCGGCUUCUUAAGUCUGAGGUGAAAGGUUCAACGCUUAACGUGAACAGUGCCUUGGAUACUGGGGAGCUUGAGUAUGGGAGAGGGCAGUGGAAUGGCUGGUGUAGCGGUGAAAUGCGUAGAUAUCAGUCGGAACACCCAUGGCGAAGGCAGCUGCCUGGCCUAAUACUGACGCUGAGGUGCGAAAGCGUGGGGAGCGAACGGGAUUAGAUACCCCUGUAGUCCCUGUCUCUUAUU
Molecule: ribosomal RNA, 301 nt
Filed under: uncultured bacterium
Lineage: Bacteria
Description: partial 16S ribosomal RNA
Rfam family: Bacterial small subunit ribosomal RNA
Source: RNAcentral